CAGGACUCGCAAGACUCCCGUAAACCACUGUGAACUUACCUACAACCCGUUGCCUCGGCGGGUGCUCCGGGGCGCGUCUUCGGGCGCUCCGGGGCGCUCCAGCCCGCCGGCGGCCCCUAAACUCUGUCUCUGUAACGUUGGCAUCUCCGAGCAGACUAUAAACGAGUCAA
RNAcentral lists this unclassified non-coding RNA (170 nucleotides) under soil metagenome. Its description in RNAcentral is "partial internal transcribed spacer 1". The record is from RNAcentral.